UAAUCCUGGUCGGACAUCAGGAGGUUAGUGCAAUGGCAUAAGCCAGCUUGACUGCGAGCGUGACGGCGCGAGCAGGUGCGAAAGCAGGUCAUAGUGAUCCGGUGGUUCUGAAUGGAAGGGCCAUCGCUCAACGGAUAAAAGGUACUCCGGGGAUAACAGGCUGAUACCGCCCAAGAGUUCAUAUCGACGGCGGUGUUUGGCACCUCGAUGUCGGCUCAUCACAUCCUGGGGCUGAAGUAGGUCCCAAGGGUAUGGCUGUUCGCCAUUUAAAGUGGUACGCGAGCUGGGUUUAGAACGUCGUGAGACAGUUCGGUCCCUAUCUGCCGUGGGCGCUGGAGAACUGAGGGGGGCUGCUCCUAGUACGAGAGGACCGGAGUGGACGCAUCACUGGUGUUCGGGUUGUCAUGCCAAUGGCACUGCCCGGUAGCUAAAUGCGGAAGAGAUAAGUGCUGAAAGCAUCUAAGCACGAAACUUGCCCCGAGAUGAGUUCUCCCUGACCCUUUAAGGGUCCUGAAGGAACGUUGAAGACGACGACGUUGAUAGGCCGGGUGUGUAAGCGCAGCGAUGCGUUGAGCUAACCGGUACUAAUGAACCGUGAGGCUUAACCUUACAACGCCGAAG
RNAcentral lists this ribosomal RNA (621 nucleotides) under Shigella sonnei. Its description in RNAcentral is "partial 23S ribosomal RNA". It matches the Rfam family "Bacterial large subunit ribosomal RNA", at positions 2322 to 2925 of the family's 2925-position model. The record is from RNAcentral. Lineage: Bacteria; Pseudomonadati; Pseudomonadota; Gammaproteobacteria; Enterobacterales; Enterobacteriaceae.